UACGUAGGGGGGCAAGCGUUGUCCGGAAUUAUUGGGCGUAAAGCGCGUGUAGGCGGCAUGGCAAGUCGGGUGUGAAAGCCCUCAGCUUAACUGAGGAAGUGCGCCCGAAACUGCCGUGCUUGAGUGCCGGAGAGGGUGGCGGAAUUCCCCAAGUAGAGGUGAAAUUCGUAGAUAUGGGGAGGAACACCGGUGGCGAAGGCGGCCACCUGGACGGUAACUGACGCUGAGACGCGAAAGCGUGGGGAGCAAACAGG
RNAcentral lists this ribosomal RNA (254 nucleotides) under uncultured bacterium. RNAcentral describes it as "partial 16S ribosomal RNA". It matches the Rfam family "Bacterial small subunit ribosomal RNA", at positions 524 to 776 of the family's 1533-position model. The record is from RNAcentral.